RNAcentral lists this long non-coding RNA (544 nucleotides) under Physcomitrium patens. Its description in RNAcentral is "long non-coding RNA (PPAT_LNC003746)". Lineage: Eukaryota; Viridiplantae; Streptophyta; Bryopsida; Funariales; Funariaceae. The record is from RNAcentral.
CUGGCUUGCGCGCCAACGCCGUGCGCUUUCCAUGCGGACGUGAGGACCCACUGGCGACGGAGUUCCAUGCGCUUUGCCGCGUGGUAACGGAAAUGGCAAAGUGGGCGCCGAGGAAGAGCAGCGUCGCAAAUAGCUCGCCUCCUGCCAUUUCAAGGCUCCACUCCCUGGUUUCAGUCAGCAUUUCGGAGCUCAUUUCCGGCUCAUUGUCGCCUACUAUAGCACACCACAGCCCAAUUUAGGUUUGCCUAAUAACGAGAUUAGAUUCCGCAAUUACUUGGAUUGCUGCAGCACACUUUCAGUGCUCGUUUGGUUUUCAGUGGCUUUGCAACUAUAAUCUCGAGUUGUAAUUUAUGUCGGAUCUUCUGAGGGUGUGUUUAGCAGAAUGCUGUUCAGCAGUAUGAUUGCACAUUAGAAGAUGAUUCCACGUGAGACUGGUGACCUACUUCGGCAGCCCCCUCUAAUGAACCCUGGGGGGAUCUAUUAUUGCGCCUGCGUACAUCCAAGUUUAACCACUUCUUAAUGAACACUCGUGGGCUUUUAUGGC